UACGUAGGGGGCGAGCGUUGUCCGGAUUUAUUGGGCGUAAAGAGCGUGUAGGCGGUUCGGUAAGUCUGUCGUGAAAUCCUGAGGCUCAACCUCGGGCGUGCGAUGGAUACUGCCGGGCUAGAGGGUGGUAGAGGCGAGUGAAAUUCCCGGUGUAGCGGUGAAAUGCGCAGAUAUCGGGAGGAACACCAGUAGCGAAGGCGGCUCGCUGGGCCACACCUGACGCUGAGACGCGAAAGCUAGGGGAGCGAACAGG
Molecule: ribosomal RNA, 253 nt
Filed under: uncultured bacterium
Lineage: Bacteria
Description: partial 16S ribosomal RNA
Rfam family: Bacterial small subunit ribosomal RNA
Source: RNAcentral